RNAcentral lists this ribosomal RNA (218 nucleotides) under uncultured bacterium. RNAcentral describes it as "partial 16S ribosomal RNA". It matches the Rfam family "Bacterial small subunit ribosomal RNA", at positions 57 to 305 of the family's 1533-position model. The record is from RNAcentral.
GCAAGUCGAGCGCACCUUCGGGUGAGCGGCGGACGGGUUAGUAACGCGUGGGAAUAUACCCUUCUCUAAGGAAUAGCCUCUGGAAACGGAGAGUAAUACCUUAUACGCCCUUCGGGGGAAAGAUUUAUCGGAGAGGGAUCGGCCCGCGUUAGAUUAGAUAGUUGGUGGGGUAAUGGCCUACCAAGUCUACGAUCUAUAGCUGGUUUUAGAGGAUGAUC